AUUGAACGCUGGCGGCAGGCUUAACACAUGCAAGUCGAGCGGGGUGAUGGUGCUUGCACUAUCACUUAGCGGCGGACGGGUGAGUAAUGCUUAGGAAUCUGCCUAUUAGUGGGGGACAACAUCUCGAAAGGGAUGCUGAUACCGCAUACGUCCUACGGGAGAAAGCAGGGGAUCACUUGUGACCUUGCGCUAAUAGAUGAGCCUAAGUCGGAUUAGCUAGUUGGUGGGUAAAGGCCUACCAAGGCGACGAUCUGUAGCGGGUCUGAGAGGAUGAUCCGCCACACUGGGACUGAGACACGGCCCAGACUCCUACGGGAGGCAGCAGUGGGGAAUAUUGGACAAUGGGGGGAACCCUGAUCCAGCCAUGCCGCGUGUGUGAAGAAGGCCUUAUGGUUGUAAAGCACUUUAAGCGAGGAGGAGGCUCUUUUGGUUAAUACCCAAGAUGAGUGGACGUUACUCGCAGAAUAAGCACCGGCUAACUCUGUGCCAGCCGCCCCGUAA
RNAcentral lists this ribosomal RNA (501 nucleotides) under uncultured bacterium. Its description in RNAcentral is "partial 16S ribosomal RNA". It matches the Rfam family "Bacterial small subunit ribosomal RNA", at positions 30 to 523 of the family's 1533-position model. The record is from RNAcentral.